GACGUGACGCGACUACAAUGCAAGUCGAGCGAAUGGAUUAAGAGCUUGGUCUUAUGAAGUUUGCGGGGGACGGGUGAGUAACACGUGGGUAACCUGCCCUUAUGACUGGGAUAACUCCGGGAAACCGGGGCUAAUACCGGAUAACAUUUUGAACCGCAUGGAUCGAAAUUGAAAGGCGGCUUCGGCUGUCACUUAUGGAUGGACCCGCGUCUCAUUAGCUAGUUGGUGAGGUAACGGCUCAACAAGGCAACGAUGCGUAGCCGACCUGAGAGGGUGAUCGGCCACUCUGGGACUGAGACACGGCCCAGACUCCUACGGGAGGCAGCAUUAGGGAAUCUUCCGCAAUGGACGAAAGUCUGACGGAGCAACGCCGCGUGAGUGAUGAAGGCUUUCGGGUCUUAAAACUCUGUUGUUAGGGAAGAACAAGUGCUAGUUGAAUAAGCUGGCACCUUGACGGUACCUAACCAGAAAGCCACGGCUAACUACGUGCCAGCAGCCGCGGUAAUACGUAGGUGGCAAGCGUUAUCCGGAAUUAUUGGGCGUAAAGCGCGCGCAGGUGGUUUCUUAAGUCUGAUGUGAAAGCCCACGGCUCACCCGUGGAGGGUCAUUGGAAACUGAGAGACUUGAGUGCAGAAGAGGUAAAGUGGUAAUUCCAUGUGUAUGCGGUGAAGAUGCUGUAGAGAUAUGCGAGGAACACCAGUGGCGCAACGCGACUUAUUCAGGGUACUGCUAAGCUGACAGCUUGAAGGGCGGCGAAAAGCCGUGGGGGGGAAGCCAAAACCAGGGAAUUAGAAUAAUCCUUGGUAAGUACCACGGCCGGUCAAAACCGAAAUGAUGUGACCUAAGUGGUUGGUGGGGUUUCGAGCGCCUUGAGUGCUGAAGCUAACGCAUUAAGCACUCCGCCUGGGGAGUACGGCCGCAAGGCUGAAACUCAAAGGAAUUGACGGGGGCCCGCACAAGCGGUGGAGCAUGUGGUUUAAUUCGAAGCAACGCGAAGAACCUUACCAGGUCUUGACAUCCUCUGACAACCCUAGAGAUAGGGCUUCUCCUUCGGGAGCAGUGGUGACAGGUGGUGCAUGGUUGUCGUCAGCUCGUGUUGUGAGAUGUUGGGUUAAGUCCCGCAACGAGCGCAACCCUUGAUCUUAGUUGCCAUCAUUUAGUUGGGCACUUUAAGGUGACUGCCGGUGACAAACCGGAGGAAGGUGGGGAAGACGUCAAAUCAUCAUGCCCCUUAUGACCUGGGCUACCCCCGUGGUACAAUGGACGGUACAAAGAGGAGCAAGCCCGCGAGGUGCAACUAAUCUUAUAAAACCGUUUUCAGUUCGGAUUGUAGGUUGCAACUUGCCUACAUGAAGCUGGAAUCGCUAGUAAUCGCGGAUCAGCAUGCCGCGGUGAAUACGUUUCCGGGCCUUGUACACACCGCCCGUCACACCACGAGAGUUUGUAACCCCAGAAGUCGGUGGGGUAACCUUUUUGGAACCAGCCUCCUAAGGUGUAUAGAGGA
This 1504-nucleotide ribosomal RNA is filed under the name Bacillus sp. (in: firmicutes). Its description in RNAcentral is "bacterial SSU rRNA". It matches the Rfam family "Bacterial small subunit ribosomal RNA". The record is from RNAcentral. Lineage: Bacteria; Bacillati; Bacillota; Bacilli; Caryophanales; Bacillaceae.